CUUCCUCCUCUGGUCACCGGUCACCGAAACUUCUGAUGAUGUCUGCGUCUACAAGUCUCAUCGCGUGCUGCCACUUAAUAUAAGGAUGGGCACGUUUUAUGGUGCGAGAAACUGGUCGGGGAACGAGGUGGCGAGCCAGGGCUCCAGGCAGCGGUGUGCUGCGGACAUUUAACAGCGCACAGACACCAUUUACAUCUGAGAUGUUCCGAGUCAGGGCUGGCAGUCCAGGUGUUGCGGUUUUUAAAAUGGAAGGCAAGGCCCCCACCAGCAGGAAGAUCUCAGCUCCCUUUAUUGAGGUACAGUGCUAGCUUUAUUCCGGCCCUCUGGAACCAAUCCUGCGGCAUCUCCCAGGGUUCAUCCAUGAAACACACAUGCCCUGCCAUCCGGAGAACAGAGCGGCAGCUGUGAAGGUUGGCUUCUGAGUCACCAUCACUGAAGUGGAACUAUUUGUACAAGUUCAAAGGCACCAAAGACCUUGGCCAUCAUCUGCCCUAGUGAAUGUCAAGACGCAGAUGACAUCACUGUAAACUGAAAUGACUGUGAUAAUAAUGAAGACCAUGUACACAGAUUAUCACAGGCUGUGUCUUUCGACUUCAAGGUUAUGUGAUUAGAAAAUGAGAAAAGCGACAAGAUUAGAAAAA
Molecule: long non-coding RNA, 641 nt
Organism: Eptesicus fuscus (big brown bat)
Lineage: Eukaryota; Metazoa; Chordata; Mammalia; Chiroptera; Vespertilionidae
Exons: 4
Source: RefSeq, a predicted model, not a curated record